RNAcentral lists this ribosomal RNA (253 nucleotides) under uncultured bacterium. RNAcentral's name for it is "partial 16S ribosomal RNA". It matches the Rfam family "Bacterial small subunit ribosomal RNA", at positions 524 to 776 of the family's 1533-position model. The record is from RNAcentral.
UACGAAGGGGGCUAGCGUUGCUCGGAAUCACUGGGCGUAAAGAGCGCGCAGGCGGUCGUAUAAGUCGAAUGUGAAAGCCCCCGGCUCAACUGGGGAGGGUCAUUCGAUACUGUUCGACUCGAAGGCAGGAGAGGGAAGUGGAAUUCCGGGUGUAGUGGUGAAAUGCGUAGAUAUCCGGAGGAACACCAGUGGCGAAGGCGACUUUCUGGCCUGUUCUUGACGCUGAGGCGCGAAAGCUAGGGGAGCAAACGGG